Long non-coding RNA from Mastomys coucha (southern multimammate mouse), 358 nucleotides. RefSeq lists it as uncharacterized. The transcript has 2 exons. The record is from RefSeq and is a predicted model, not a curated record. NCBI's taxonomy places the organism in Eukaryota, Metazoa, Chordata, Mammalia, Rodentia, Muridae.
GUGGUAACCAAAGAGGUGGGUCCUUUUCCUGUUUUGUUGUUGUCAUCUUAGACACUUGUUGACAUUUAAUGAGGACAAAAAGACACUAUGGAAGAGAACAGGUAUGGCCACCAGUCACAGCUUUGGCCAGUGAGAUGCAUAUUUGACAAGGCACACUGAGAAGGUGAGGUGGCACUGAGAGUGAAGAAGAAAAAUGGCCUUCCCACCAUCAGGAGAUGCAUAUCUAAGGAUGAAUUAAAGAACAGAGGCAGCAACAUGCUGUGGAGUUCCUGCAUCUUCCUUUACUACUUGCUUUUCAGUUUUUUGAUGUGCAAGAGAAAGGCAACUGGCUAAAGUAAAGUUAUAUUUUCAUUAUAAA